CCUACGGGUGGCAGCAGUGAGGAAUAUUGGUCAAUGGACGCGAGUCUGAACCAGCCAAGUCGCGUGAAGGAUGACUGCCCUAUGAGUUGUAAACUUCUUUUGUAAGGGAAUAAAACGAGGCACGUGUGCCUUUUUGCAUGUACUUUAUGAAUAAGGAUCGGCUAACUCCGUGCCAGCAGCCGCGGUAAUACGGAGGAUCCGAGCGUUAUCCGGAUUUAUUGGGUUUAAAGGGAGCGUAGAUGGGUUGUUAAGUCAGUGGUGAAAGUUUGCGGCUCAACCGCGAAAUUGCAAUUGAUACUGGUAGGCUUGAGUAUAGUUGAGGUAGGCGGAAUGCGUGGUGUAGCGGUGAAAUGCUUAGAUAUCACGAAGAACCCCGAUUGCGAAGGCAGCUUACUAAGCUGUGACUGACAUUGAGGCGCGAAAGUGUGGGGAUCAAACAGGAUUAGAUACCCGGGUAGUC
RNAcentral lists this ribosomal RNA (460 nucleotides) under uncultured bacterium. Its description in RNAcentral is "partial 16S ribosomal RNA". It matches the Rfam family "Bacterial small subunit ribosomal RNA", at positions 338 to 795 of the family's 1533-position model. The record is from RNAcentral.